AACAAUUGAUUAAUUAUAAUAUGUAAAUUAUAAAAUUAUUGUAUUUGAAAUAGUUAUAUAAACAUUUAAGUAUAUGAUUAAGUAUAGAAAAAUGAAAAUAAACACCUGCGUGGUUGAGCGGGUCAAAAUCUAGUAAUGAUUAAAUCAUCUAAUCUAUUAAAAUAGAAGUACAAAUUAGAAUUAACCAUCAUUUCACCUUUAAUAUUAUAAUGUCAAUUUAUUUAACCAACUUACUAUAUUAGCCAACUAUGAUAGAACAUAUAUAUAUAUUCUAUAAGCCAUACUAUUUGUCUGAUUUAUACUAACUAACUAUAUGAGCUUUAAUAGUUUACAAACAUAUAAUAAGUCGUUGCGUAUAUGUAUUAUACAUUUUAUAUGUAUAAAGUCUGGUCCUUUCAGCAUAUAGAACAUAUAGCCAGAAAAUUACAUCAAUAUGUUUUCACACAUGAUGAUAAAUUUAUAUAUUAUAUUGUUUAUUUUACAUGUUGAUUAGUAUGUUUUACAUUGAAGGUUCGAGAUUUUUAAUAGUCUCAAUUUUAAACAAACCCCAAAUACAUUGCUGCCAUACAUAGCUAAAUACAUGGAACAAUAAAAAUUCAGAACACACCCUACCAUUAAAUUCAAAUUCACACGCCUAACAAUAAAAAUUCCUGAAACAUGUAUUUAGCUAAAUACAUGGAACAAAACAGAAUAUUUUACCUUCCUAAACAAUCUCAAAACCGAAUCUUAUGCACAUAUAUAGUUACCCAAAUAAGGAUAACCAGCGAAAAUUUCAAAUCCCUAUAUUUUCUCCAACUAAAAACUAUAAAAAGUUAAUUUCAACUUUAAUUUCUAAUUGAAUUAAAUAAGAAAAUGUAUUACAUUGCUUUCUUCUUAGUCCUAACAUUCUAAAUAAACCAAGUAUUACUUUUACCUAUGGGUUUUCAAUCUAGAUUUCAGUUCGGUUUCGGCUUAUUUUUUUAAUUUUUUGGUAUUUUGGUUUACUAAAAGUAGAUAUCAUAUUAAACUAUAUUUAUUUUGGUUUGGCUCGGUUUAUAUACCAUCAAUUUUUGGUUUAUUUGGUUGCCAGAAAUAAUUUAUAUAUUUAUCUUUUAUUAAUUAUAUUAUACAAUGUACAUAUAACUAUACUACUAUAUUUUAAUGAAUCGGUUUAUUCGGUAUGAUUGCUUUAUAUAUAAAGUUAUAUCCAUAUACCACAAUUUAUGUAUAUUUGAUACUACAAAAUCUAAAUAACUUUUUCUAUUUUGAUUUGGUUCGAUUUUAUUGGUUCAGUUUUACCGGUAAACAACCCUAUUCUUACUGGAUAUCUUAUUAAUGAUCAUUUUACAUAUAAAAACAAUUGCUGCCUCAAAAGAAUGUGAAACAACUAUUACACAAAUACACAAGACAUCAUAUACUUAUUUUCAUGCAAAAAUAUAUUUCUUUAUUAUUUGGUCUUACAAUGUAAUAUUUCUAUUAAAUUGUUAUUCUUAUUUUUCAGUGUUGAUGGAUGGUUACAUAAAAGAAAAGUUAAAUAAAUAAUGAAAAGCUUGAUGGGAAAGUAAUUAAAACUUGGUGAGAAAGUAAUUCAAGUUGCUGAUAAAGUAACAACAUUUAAAUAAUUAUCUAUGGUCCAUCAGAAGACAACACUUCAGAAAAUUAUAAAAUCAACGUAUAAAAAAGUUCUUAGAUAAAGGGAGAUAAACCUAAAAAAAAUUCUCAAGAUCAAGAACUUGUCUUCAGUAAUCAAAACAGUUCAAAAGUCUUUUACCGCUACGAACAAUUGAGGUAUUCUUUUAAUCUUCCUUAUAGAUAUAUCAUGUGGUUAGUCCAGAUUUUAAAAUCUUAUGGUUUAUGUAAAUCAAGUUUAUGUUGCCCGGAUAUGCUCUCUCUGGUCCUAGAGAACUUAUGCUUAUCACACCUAAAAGCCUCUCUAUGUGUAUCUUCCUGAUCCUGGUCCUCAUCCACUGAAACUUAUGUUAAGGAUCCAGUAUAAUAUCAGCAUGCGAAUUACCUAGCAAAUGAACAUCAUAGACUCUGCAUUUUCAUCAUAAAUCAAUCAUUAAUUCAAAUUGGUACUGGUUUUUUCUUUUUUUUUGAACACGUAUACUGGUUUUUUCUAAUACAAUUAAACACCACUAUCCUCUAUAUCAGGCAAGUGCUACAAUUCUACUGCUAUAUAUAUAUGUUAGGAUGCGUGAUAACUUAAUCAAAAAGUGAAUAAACUAAACCUGAAUAGCAAAAAGUUACAAGCAGAUAGCUUAAUCACACAAAAUUGUGGAUAAGUAUUCAUGUAUGGACAUAAAGCUGAGUUUUGUAAGAAGUUACGGUCAACGGAUUAGAAUCUUAACUUUUGGUUGGGUCGUCCAAGUCAGAAUCAUUGUAUUCGAAUUUCAGUGGAGUCACUGGACGAAUUGGGUUAGGGUACGACUUCUGAGAUCUGACCAAGUCAUUCAUCCGAGACCCGGUUUAGUCAUUCAUAGUUUUAAUUAUGGUUAUUUAUUUUCGUGGAACGUUACAAGAUAUAUCAAAUAUUAUACAACCAAAGCAAAAUAAGACUAUCUAUGUCAUUCUACUUGAUUUUUUAAUAGAAUUAAGUUUUUUUUAACAACAUAGAAGUGAGUUCUAUUCAAACAAUAUUCUAUUUUAGAAGAAAAAUAAUUUGAUAUACGUAAUAGAAUUGAGUUUUUUAACAACAUAGAAGUGAGUUAUAUUCAAAUAGUACUCUAUUUUAGAA
Long non-coding RNA from Brassica rapa (field mustard), 2716 nucleotides. RefSeq lists it as uncharacterized. The record is from RefSeq and is a predicted model, not a curated record. NCBI's taxonomy places the organism in Eukaryota, Viridiplantae, Streptophyta, Magnoliopsida, Brassicales, Brassicaceae.